Long non-coding RNA from Ictalurus punctatus (channel catfish), 440 nucleotides. The record is from Ensembl. Lineage: Eukaryota; Metazoa; Chordata; Actinopteri; Siluriformes; Ictaluridae.
UGAGAGUGUGAGAGAGUGAGUGAGAGAGAAUGUGAGAGAGUGAGUGAGAGAGUGUGAGAGAGUGAGAAUGUUUCUUUUCCCCUCUGUGCUGAUGUGACUCGCGUUAGCACGCGUGAGAAGCCUGGAGCAGCGCUCGUGCUCUCAGCUCCUGCCAGACGGCCAGGGGAUUUCCACGCGGCCCAAUGAAGCUCUCUGUACGCGGCACGAGGCGGCCGCUGAGUAACCCUCACUUCACCAUCUUACACUUUACACGCGCGUGUUGGGGAAAUCUCACUAAGUCCACACAACGGCCGCAUUCCUUGCACGCAUUAUAAUAGAAUACACCUGCUGCCUCGCCCCUACACUUCCGCUUGCCCAAGUGUAAUACCAUCUACUGGGUAUGACUGGAGCUGCACCGCUGAAAGACUUCCUUCACCCAGGCUGCACUGUGAAUAAAAAUG